GACAAAAAACGGGGGUCCUUGGAACGGGUCGCCAUGCUUGUGAGUGCGUAUUCAUCCCCAUGGAACGGGCAUACGUGCAUGCAGCUAUAGCCCGGCGGCAAGGGCGCCGGGUGCGCUAGCGCAGAGGCGAUGGUCGGACAGUGCUUUGCGGCCGCUUUUCCGAAAUUGCGGCUCAUUGUAGCAGAUCAAUACGGCCGGAACGGCGUAACGGAAAAUAUGCGAAGCUUUGGAGCGGAUUUCUUUCUUCUUUUUCCUCGAUAAGAAGAAAAUGCUAUGCUUUGGAGCGGCUUUUUUUGUCAGUUGGUAUAGACUUUGAUCGGGGUAUAGAACUGCUCUGAGGUAAACCAGUUCUGUGAAAGAGUGCCGAAAUGAAACGUUUAUUAAAAUGAAAGUGCCCCAUAGUUAUCCUGCUGGAAGUAAUACGGGAUGUAUGCAUCACUUACACACUGCUUAGAAAGAAAUAUAAAAAAAGUCUAACGACAAAGAAUCAUUCGGCAAUAAAGUUUAUUCAACCCGUCUUCGGAAAAUCACAAGGCCUGUGAUGUUUAAUAUGAGUUCAAUAUGGCGCACUGACUGAGUGAUGUCGUCAUAUAAGAUUACGCUCAACAUUUGGGUGCUUGCCGAUUAUUCAUGUUAUUUGAAAUAGUUUUGAAUCAACGUAUGAUUUAUCAUAGCGCAGAGAGUGUGAAUUUCUAAUCUUUCGGUUUUUUUAGGACUAUAUAUACGUCAGUGGAGAAAAUUCCAGCACCUUACAUGCAUUCGUGAAGGAUACCGGCCAGUUUCUUUUCACUCUUAAUCUGCCUUACAGACCGUAUGGCAUUGUCACCUACGCACCAGAUACACAGCCACCAGCAGUGUCUCACUGUAGCAGUAACCCAUGUAGCUACCUUUGCGUCGGUGGUGGAGCCGAUGGUUUUACGUGUCUGUGUGGAACUGGAAGACUAUUGGCCCCAGAUGGAAGAACAUGUCGAGAAGAACGAGCCAUCAGUCCACCCCAACUAUUUGUUGCCUCUCGGACAAAGCUUUCCAGAUAUCCAAGUAAUUUUCCCGACUUUCCCAUCACUGAUAACUACAAUAUAACCAACAUGUUAACUAACCGCAAUCAUGCCGUUGCUCUCGCCGUCGAUCUGGAAGAUGGUUUGGUGUUCUAUAGUGAUGUCGCAACUAAAGCGAUAGCGAUGGCGAGCUUGAGGUUUGGCUCGACUGUCCGCUACAUUACGGGAGCAACCAGCUCAGUCGAAGGAAUGGCUGUUGACUGGUUGACAAAACACCUGUACUGGACGGAUAAUCAUAGGGGAACUAUUGAAGUAUCUCGCUACGACGGAUCGUAUAGAACAACUCUUCUUAAAGAUAAGAUUCUCAGACCAAGAAGCAUUGUCAUCGAUCCUGCCGAAAAAGUAAUGUUUUGGACAGAAUUCGGACCGCCUUGUCAGAUUGAACGAGCCUCUUUAGACGGUACACAAAGGAUUGAAAUCAUAAGCCACUCUCAAUGCGCACUUCACAUGAGUGGCCUUGUAAUUGAUUAUGAAGAACAAAGACUAUACGUUGGUGUUGUCAAUCGAGGAGCUAUCAUCAGUGUUAAUUACGACGGUGGAGAAAUGAAACACGUUCUUACCAAGACAAACUCGUUAUUUUUCGAUCUUACCAUUUACAAGGAUUACAUUAUGUGGACCGAGCUUAAACAAAACCAGGGUAUAUACGUAAGCAACAAGGAGACUGGAAAAGCAGUCAGGGAAUUACCAAUGAGAGAGGCAGUGUAUGGAAUUACAAUGUACGCCGACACCAGGCAACAUAUAAUACACAAUCCAUGUAGAUCUCAUAACGGUGGAUGUCAACAGUUAUGCCUAAAUUCCUACAAUCAUUCGAACGGAUACGUUUGCCGUUGCACCAUGGGAUACAAUCUAGCUGAAAACGGUAGAGACUGUCAGUCAAAUUUGGUGGAUCAUGACUUCCUCCUGGUAACGGAUACGUAUCAUCGUGGUAUAUAUCAGGUGAACAUCAACUCCAAUUUCAAACCUGAGGCACUGCGAUUGAAUGGGCUAAAAAACCCUAUUGGAGUUGGUUUCGACCAGGCUGAAAAUAUGGUGUAUUGGACAGACGUCAAAAAACGAGAGGUCAACCGCGCUACCGUCGAUGGAAGCUGGCAAGAAACUAUAGCAAUAGAAAAUAUUGGACAACCAGACGGCAUUGCUGUGGACUCUAUCUCAAAGUUGGUUUAUUGGACGGAUCUUGCUAUGCGUUCUAUAUCUGUAUCAACGCUAGAUGGAUUAGACCGUAAAACGCUUGUUAAAAAUCUUGUUAAACCGAGAGCUAUAGUUCUUCAUCCAGUUGAAGGUAUAAUGUUUUGGAGCGACUGGCGGAGUAGUGCGGUGAUUGAACGAUCUUACAUGGAUGGAAACAUGCGUAGAGUUAUUAUAGACACAGGUUUGAGAUGGACUAACGGGUUAACUUUAGACUUUCAAGAUAAUCGUCUAUACUGGUGCGAUGGUGGCCUGGAUUUAAUAGAGUCUAGUGAUUUCUCUGGUCAUGACCGUCGAGUUGUCCUCAACCUUGGUGAAGGAUUCCAUGCCUUUGGGAUAUCAGUUAUUAAUCAGUCGGUCUAUUGGAGUGAUUGGAGAGUUCGAGACAUGUUAAAAGCAGAUAAACUGACUGGAUUGAAUAAACAAGUGCUUGGUAACAAUAGCUUUGCCCGGCCCAACGCCAUCUUCGCAGUCACCAAUAAUUCUCUUCCUACAGGUAUCAAUUCAUGUUCAGAUGACAAUGGAGGUUGUUCAACUCUCUGCUUACCUACGGCCAUUGGUAGAACAUGCGCAUGCUCAGAUGAUGUAGAUUUGGCAAGGGAUGGUGUCACAUGCGUAUCAGAACUGAACAUUGAAUGCCCAUUGGACUUCAUGUACGGAGGUGUAGAAGAGUCGUGUGACAGAUCCCCCGGAAGUAAUUGUUCAGUAAUAUGUUACUCGGAUCUUGUUCCUGCUGUAGACUUCAUCAUUUGCCAGAGCAGCGGCAGCUGGGACAUAGAAAAAAGUGACAUUUGUCGAGAGGAACAUUGCUCGGAAUUAGAUGUACCAGACCACGCGAUAUUCUCAGGUCCUUGUUAUCCACCAUACGAUCAGGGUAAGCUCUGUAUUGUAGAGUGUGAACCUGGUUACAUGAGAACGAGCGGUAAACCAAGAAGAGUUUGUUCACAUGGUGGAGAAUGGCUAGGGACACCUAUUGUCUGUCAAGAGAUAGUUGAGGAAUCACCGGAAGGUGAAUGUAACAGUGACCUGGUAUUCCAUGGGACACCUGAAGACAUAUCUCCUGUACACAACGAUCUGGUACAACAAUCAUGUACUACCAAUUACCCACUGGCAGACAUCACGUGGUACAAAGAUGGCGUGCGACUCAUGACAGGUUCUGUUAAUGGGAUAUAUAUACUACCUUCAAAUGAUCUUCUUAUUCCUGGUUUUGACACACAUCAUCAGGGUCAAUAUUCAUGUGUGGCUUCUUUCUCAGGUCGAGAAUGCCUUAGAGUCGAUGUUCAGUUUGCAUUCGAUCCAUACCGCCAUUUUGAAGCUGUUCCUAUCAACGCAUCGUUGGAAGUUGGCGAUCAUUAUUUGUUUGAAUGCCAAGCAAAGUCAGCUCUUGAUUCAAUUGAAUGGUGGAAGGAUGGAACAAGAGUCUCUCAAACAGAACAAAUCAUUUUGAUUUCAGGAGGGAGUCUUUUGAUAAGGAAUAUUGUUAGUCAAGAUUCAGGAAAAUACACAUGUAUGGUAUCGGAUCAACGAGGCAAUAUGAGAGGAGAAGCCCAUGCAUGGCUUACUGUAGCAGAUAUGCACCUGCCUAACAUCAAUAUUACACAAGUCUGCGGGACGAUCACAGCCCCUGAAGCCAUUAUUUCAACCACUGUAGCCCCGAGGGAAGGAAGAGUGGUAGGCGGGCACCAGUCACUCCCUGGCUCUGCUCCUUACAUGGGUCGCAUUUGGCACAAAGCGGAACGAAGUUUCGUUUGUGGAGCCACACUUUUAAACCAGCGAUGGGUCUUGACUGCAGCACAUUGCAUCGUCUUAUACAGGCUUGACUUCCGGGAUAUUCUUCUCUACUUCGGCGACCACGAUACCAUGACAACGGAAGACCAUCAGGUUAUUGCUGAAGUAGACCAGAUCAUUCAACAUGAAGACUUCGAUCAAGAUAACUUUAACAAGGACAUCGCUCUUAUCCGUCUGAAGCAACCCUUUGAGGAAUUUACCAACUACAUUCGUCCGAUAUGUCUUCCACCUGUCUGGCUGGCUAAGUCACUCUUGCAGACUGAUAGGAUGGGUAGGGUGACUGGUUGGGGUCAAAUAGCUGAAGGUGGACCAUACCCCAGGUACCUUACUGAGGUUGAACUACCAGUCGUUAGGAUCAAGAGGUGUAAAGAUGCCACCGAGUUUGAGGUGACCAAGUUUAUGUUCUGUGCUGGGUAUUCCGCUGCUGAAGAUAAGAAAGAUGCAUGUCAAGGAGAUAGUGGUGGACCAUUUGCUAUGCAACAUGAAAACAGAUGGUAUCAGCUAGGUAUAGUCAGCUGGGGAGAAGGAUGUGCAAGGGAUGGCAAGUACGGCUAUUAUACCAAGAUCUUACGACUUUUGUCAUGGAUCGAGAGAAACACUUCAUAGUAGUCUUUUCACAAUCAAAUCUUGCCAAUUUAUAAUAUAACUUUGAUAUCAGAUGUUCAUACGAAAUUAAUGUGAGAGAUAGAUUCUGCAUUAUUGUUACUUACAAAGUAGUGUGGACUUUCUCAGAAAUCGAACAGAUAUGAGAUUACUCCACAGGAGUGGAGAAGCUGUUUAAGUCUAACUAGGGAGAAGGGGUAUUUUUCUUGUCUAAUAUCAUUAAAAUUAGCAUAUCUUUUAUCACUGAAGUUUUAUAAUAUGUUCUGACCGAUUUGUCUACAUUGAUAUAUUAUUAUUAUAAGAAAUUAAUCGAAAGGAAUUUUGAACCAAUUAUUUAAAGAUACGGCGGGGAAGGUUGUUCCGAUAGAAUGAUAUAUUUUUGAAGAGGAUUAUUAUCAUCGAAUUCCGAGUACUUCGAAUUCGAUUAGAAAUAAAGCUCACGCAGUUUAGCUGAAUGAGACUCACUCAGUUAUUUGUAUACAGGAAAAACAUGAUAAAGUGCAUGAUUAAACUGACGAUAUCAUUUGCAUUCAUCUAAAGAAUAUAAAUGAUUCUUUUUUUAUUUGAGCUCGGGGCAUGAUCAUAGGAAUUUCCAUUUACUUGCACGAUAUAUGGUAAUGCGUAGAAAAGGAAUUGUUAAUAAUGAUUUUCCACAGCAUAAAAAAAAUAGAUUCUUUAAAAAUCGUGCUCAAUAAGCUCCACAUUUAUGAAACUAUUUAAAUGUAUAAGUCUCUUUUGUAGUCAUGUUAGUUACAGUAAAAGAAAACAAAACUUAGGGAAUAUCAAUUAAAUCAAAAGAAAGGAUAAAGGUAUCAAUUAAAAAAAGUUAAAUCGGUUACGAAUUGAAAAGGCUUGGAAAAAAAAUAAUUUCGCCCCCCGCCCCCCCCCCCCCAUUUUAUUUCACUUAGGAAACAAAGGAUAUCCUGAGUUUUUCAUGGUGUAUAUACAUGAUAGAGGGGCAGACCCAUGGACACAAUGAUUUAAAAACAGAACUUCACGUUCACUUAUAAGCAAACGGUGCAAGCUUUGUGAGCAAAUACGAGCUGCUUUGUUCUGCAAUUUCUGUAAACGUACAAGUUGCGAUUGGAAUAAAAACAGUUCUUUCUAACCAAUACAAUACAUUGUAUGGACUCAGAACUUGUUUAUAAAUAUUGUGGAAAACAUAGAGUUAAUUUAAAAAGAAAGUUUUGAAAUAAACCAAUGACACAAUAUACCUUUAAACGGUAGGGCAUAACCGAAAUAGAGUCUGGACGAAAUCAAGGCAUGUACAGAUAGGCAAUGUUGCUUCAAAAUGGCAGGUUUAGUACAUAAAAUGUAUUGUUCCCAAACUUUUAUAUUUAUGUGUUAUGUAAAUCACUUUUACCAUGAUACAUCUUCAGUCCAUGUAAACACGUUAGGCAUUUGGAAAAAAUUGGGGGAAUAUUGCUGCAAAGUUAUCACUUUGGAACAACAAUGCAAAUUUGAGGUUGCCCAAAAAUAAGCUGGGAUAGUCAAAUUUCAUAACUUUUAAUUUCGUAAUUGAUUUUGAUGAAACUUUUUACAAAUUUCUUCUGUCUACCCUUUCGUUAAAAUGUAUUUUUACUAGGUUGUAUUAUCCUUUAUUAUCAUUGUUUAUAAUUGUAUUAUUAUCAUCAUCAUUAUUAGGUCUACCAUUGAUUUUAUGAUUUUCUUCCAAAAUUAUGUAAAUGUUGUUUCUUAUACAAAUGUUUGUUGUUGUUGUCUUCAUUUUAUUUUUUUAAGAUACCGCAUUACGCAUAUUAAUCUUAACAUCUCAUUGAAUAUCCUCGAUUAUGCCUUAGUUCAUUUUAUUUAUCAUCAACAGCCAAGUUGACGUAAUAAAGCAUUAUAUUCCAAGUGUGGUCAAUCGAUCAAAACUA
This is an RNA transcript of Lytechinus pictus (painted urchin), 6508 nucleotides long. It is a transcript of the gene named low-density lipoprotein receptor-related protein 2-like, with no coding region annotated. The record is from RefSeq and is a predicted model, not a curated record. The transcript has 21 exons. NCBI's taxonomy places the organism in Eukaryota, Metazoa, Echinodermata, Echinoidea, Temnopleuroida, Toxopneustidae.